AGAAAUUUUAACAUUUUUAAUCCUAGUGACGACCGUAACACUACUUUGCAACUCAAAUUAUGAUUAAUUUCAAUAAUCGAAACAUGGUUCGAAUUAAAACCGUACCCUAUAAACCAAGAGUUUUUUCAAUAAAUAGUCACUACACAGUAUGCCUCCAAUUAACUUACAUUCAAAAAUCGAAGCCUCGAAUCUGAAUUAUUAAUGCAGUGUCUCUAAUUAUAUAAUCAAGAAUAUAUUUUUGAGACCUAACCAAUUUGUCCAAACCAAAAUUUACAACAUCAUCACAGCCCUCAACAAUGGUUACACCAUGAAAACAUCAACUAGAACAAUCAUCAUCCAAAUAAGUUUACAAAUCAUUAACAAACUCAAUAAAAUCAUAAGAAACAAAACAUAGAACUAAAGAGUCAAAACCGAGUCGGGUUAAAAUGAAACCAAGUCAAUUCAAUUCGGAAAGCAUUCCACGAAGACAAAUUCAAAUUAAGCUCAAACUGAAAUCGACGGAACAACACGAGAAUAGUCAGAACCGAACCGGAGUUGAAUUCGGAACUCACGUAUGAUGUUGUCCCACACGUACAGCUCCGAUCAAUGCACCGACCACCACGUCUCUCCGCGAUACCCGCAACACUAACAACGGAUUCAUGCGUAAACCGCCGGAAUCGAGUUCACAACCACACCCAUCCACUAAACGAUGCACCCUCAUGCCGACCAGAUCCGUCGACAUAUCUUCCGCCGGAAAACCACGAAUUAGUCACUACCAACCACCAUCGCCCCACUGGUGAAUCGAUCGCCAUCGUCGGACUCCUCCGCAAUCUCCGCCGUUUGUUUCAGAUCUGUUACACUUUUAUCAAUCCACUCUUUCUUUCCACUUAAAAAUUGUUGUUCUUCGUGAGUGAUAUUAGUAUGAUAUAUUGAUUUUAUUUGAGAUUGUUUGAGGAGAAAGCUUGAAUUUGGGAAAAUUGGAGUUUUGAAGUUUUUUCAUUCUGGGUGUAGUUACUGGAAGUGAGAAAAAGAUAAAGAGAAUUUUAUUCUCUUUCUUUAUGCAUCACCGUGGCUAGAGAGAAGAGUAUAUAUCCGUUUAUCAUUUGACUAAAAUACUAAUUCAUUAUGUUCUAUGUUUUUAUUUUUUAUUUUUAAUAUAUGCCACAUGUCGCGAUGUGGUUGGACGGUCAAGAAGUCAAUGAGGAGCACUCUUUUAAUGUCCAG
RNAcentral lists this long non-coding RNA (1203 nucleotides) under Lathyrus oleraceus (garden pea). RNAcentral's name for it is "Pisum sativum (pea) long non-coding RNA (PSAT_LNC014970)". Lineage: Eukaryota; Viridiplantae; Streptophyta; Magnoliopsida; Fabales; Fabaceae. The record is from RNAcentral.